GCCCUAGUACGGCGAGUGAAGCGGCAACAGCUCAAAUUUGAAAUCUGGCCUCUGGCCCGAGUUGUAAUUUGUAGAGGAUGCUUUUGGUGAGGUGCCUUCCGAGUUCCCUGGAACGGGACGCCAUAGAGGGUGAGAGCCCCGUCUGGUCGGACACCGAUCCUCUGUAAAGCUCCUUCGACGAGUCGAGUAGUUUGGGAAUGCUGCUCUAAAUGGGAGGUAUAUGUCUUCUAAAGCUAAAUACCGGCCAGAGACCGAUAGCGCACAAGUAGAGUGAUCGAAAGAUGAAAAGCACUUUGAAAAGAGGGUUAAACAGUACGUGAAAUUGUUGAAAGGGAAGCGCUUGUGACCAGACUUGGGCCCGGUUAAUCAUCCAGCGUUCUUCGCUGGUGCACUUGGCCGGCCCAGGCCAGCAUCAGUUCGGUGCGGGGGAUAAAGGCUUCGGGAAUGUGGCUCCCCCGGGAGUGUUAUAGCCCGUUGCGCAAUACCCCGCGCUGGACUGAGGUUCGCGCAUCUGCAAGGAUGCUGGCGUAAUGGUCAUCAGCGA
This 544-nucleotide ribosomal RNA is filed under the name Nectriaceae sp. RNAcentral's name for it is "LSU rRNA". It matches the Rfam family "Eukaryotic large subunit ribosomal RNA", at positions 77 to 647 of the family's 3401-position model. The record is from RNAcentral. Lineage: Eukaryota; Fungi; Ascomycota; Sordariomycetes; Hypocreales; Nectriaceae.